Molecule: long non-coding RNA, 1744 nt
Organism: Pogona vitticeps (central bearded dragon)
Lineage: Eukaryota; Metazoa; Chordata; Lepidosauria; Squamata; Agamidae
Source: Ensembl
GAAAUGCCAAGUGCACUUCUCUAAAGCUGAGGAACAUUUUUUUGUCUUUAGGGAUGAUUUGUAGAGGGUUGCAUGGUAUCAGGGCCAUAAAUGGAUGGUUUAGACUGAGUUAGCAAGCAGGAGGACUAAGGACCCAAUUAAUUGAGUUUACAUGCCACAAGAAUAUAAAUUGCUCUCACGUACUGUUUGCCACACUAACUUUGCUCUUUUUCCUUCUCUAGAACCCUGUCUCCCUUACUCUGUAUCAUCCUAACUCUUCAAGACAAAAAGAAUGCAGCACUAAAUACCACAGUGUUUUCCAUAGUUACCAAAGGAACAAGUUGGAACUUCACACAGUACAUGGAAGCAUGAUCUACCUAAUGAGCAUCUGUAAUUCUGGAAGAACAUGUUCCAACAAGGCUUGGAAGCAGGAAAUAAGAUACAGACUAACCAUGCCCUCCCUUGCAGUGUGCAAGACAAGACAGCGCCUCGAUUAAGUCAGCAAAGGAAGGUGUGCAUGGGCAGGAUUGGUGCGGGGGAGGAGGAGGGAUGCCCCGAAGAAGGGCUCCGCUCCCGCGGCAGAGGUGCGCGUAGGAUGCCUUCUUCGCGCAGCGCAUCCUGCCAACCCCGGAGACGCUCACAGCCAGACCCGCUCUUCUCCGCGGGGCGAGAGAGGCGCCGCCGUUUCCCGCCUGCUUACCUUGGCAAUAGGCGACCAGCAGAGCCAGGUAAAUGGCACCUCGCACCGGCGCCUCCAUCUCGCGAGGCGCUUCGAGGGAGGGGGGGCAGGUCGGCGCAAAGGCGGCACCGGUACGCAAAGUACAACUGGCCCGCCGGGACGAGCCGAACGACUGAGGCGCGGCGGCCACGAGCGAGCGCUCGCGCGGGAGGCGCGCUGCCCAGCUCCGCCCAGAAACCCCGCUCCGGCUACUGUCUGCCGCCCUCUUAGAGACCCCCGGCGAAAGCAACCUGGCCUCGUGCGUAUUCGCCGCCCGCGAGACCCUCCUCCCACUAAGUUUUGCUUAGCAAAAGAAAGAAGAAACGUCUCUCUUCGUAGAGUUUCCCGCCCUCGAGUGCGUGUUCUUGGUGUGGAGCAAUUCCCUUCACCUGCGUCGUCAAAGAAGCUCCUCCUCUUCCCCCCCCCCCCCCCGACCCCCGGCGAAAGCAACCUGGCCUCGUGCGUAUUCGCCGCCCGCGAGACCCUCCUCCCACUAAGUUUUGCUUAGCAAAAGAAAGAAGAAACGUCUCUCUUCGUAGAGUUUCCCGCCCUCGAGUGCGUGUUCUUGGUGUGGAGCAAUUCCCUUCACCUGCGUCGUCAAAGAAGCUCCUCCUCUUCCCCCCCCCCCCCCCCUCCCANUUCAGGGCCUGACCAGAAGGAGCGACGAAACUUAAUACUUCCUUUGUUUUGUCUCCCGCUGACCUAUGACUAGGAAUGCGCUGUUUGAAGAGGUUUUAACCAUUUUUUCAAAGAUGUUUGCCUAGGUUCCGACCGCACUUGUCCAUUCUUGUCAGCUCUUUGCCACUGCGUGGUGAGCCCGGUUCCUCACCAAGAGGCCAGUGCUUCCCAUCCAUGGGUCCCCAAAUGUUCCUGGACUAAAACUCCCAGAAGCCUGCACCACUAGGUGUGCUGGCCAGGAUUUGUGCGAAUUGUAGUCCAAGAAUAUCUGGGGGCCCAAGGUUGGGAAGGACUGCUGGAGGCUAACCGGGACUAUAAAAAAUAGUUGUGCAAAAGGUGUGUGCAGCUGCCCAGUAUAGGCCACUUAAA